UCCCUGGUGGCUCAGAUGGUAAAGAAUCUGCCUGCAAUGCAGGAUACCCAGGUUCAAUCCCUGGGGGAA
RNAcentral lists this transfer RNA (69 nucleotides) under Bos indicus (zebu cattle). It matches the Rfam family "tRNA". From Rfam's summary of the family: Transfer RNA (tRNA) molecules are approximately 80 nucleotides in length. Lineage: Eukaryota; Metazoa; Chordata; Mammalia; Artiodactyla; Bovidae. RNAcentral also lists the same sequence under 3 other names. The record is from Rfam by way of RNAcentral.